ACCCGGCCCUGGGCAUCGGAUGAUUUCCUCAAAUGUCUGGUGCCGUUUAUGCGUAAGAGUGCUCAGGCGCUGAGGGGCUCUGCAGCCACGUGUGUGGUGU
Molecule: small RNA, 100 nt
Filed under: Pan troglodytes (chimpanzee)
Lineage: Eukaryota; Metazoa; Chordata; Mammalia; Primates; Hominidae
Description: processed transcript
Source: RNAcentral